AUAGAAUAGUACAUUUUGACAUAGUUAUGCCUUCAAAAUCACUUAUUAAUGAUGUACCUUUGAAAAGAAAGAAGAAAUCAUCCUCAAACUAUAUCAGAAUCGGGCAUUGUGAGGAAUGUUAUCACAGCAUGCCAAGCUGUAAAAGAAAUCCAAUAUUAUACCUGUGAAUACUGACGAGGAUGAAACAACAUCGCAUGUUAAUCCCUGAUUGAGUGAUACUACAUCCUAAGGAAAUUGCCCAACCCCUCAAGAUACUUCCAAGUGUGGUUGUAUUUGAGUCUUCAAAAUGUCAUUUCACUAUUCUCUCAGGACAACUGCUUCAGGAUGAUAGGGAACAUGCUACUUGGCCAUGCAGAGAAGCUUGGAAUGAUCACAGAAGCUGACAGGGCCGCUGAUACUGGGGAAGGCUGGCUGCAAAAAAGUAAUGUCUGCUAAAAACAGAUCCUUCCAGUAUAAUCAGAGAAAAACUGCAGCACCCCAGAGAUAAGCGAAAUCAUACACCAGCAAAAGACUUUAGAUUAAUGAAGAAAGAGAGCUGAGGUAUUACAAAAGCUUCUUGGCUACCUCCUCUUGCCUCAGACAUAUGCCUGCCGACAGGUACUGAGUAUAUGACAUCUCGAGGACUUUAGAGAAUAAGUAGUAUUUUAAUUUGUUAGGCAAUAACUAAAUGCCAAACAUCUGGCAUAGAGUGUCUAAAAAUCUUUUCAAUGGUUUUUCAAAGUAGGUAUAGUCAUCUCUAUUCUAUGAGUGGUACAGCUGUAGAUUAACAAAGUUAAGCAAUUUUUCCAAGAUCACACAUCUCAUAAUCUAGAUGUCCCUAACUAUAAAACCCACAUGUUUUUCAUGACACCAGGCUCCUUCAUGAAGUUGUCCUAAGCUGUGAAGAUGAUUUUACAUUUUUUUCCACAUUAUGGGAUGGCCUUGGGAUAUAAAUGCUUUCUAAAGAAAAUUCUUCAGCAGAAGGUAUAAAGUUGGGUCUAAUAACACAUGGUUGUCCAGCCACAUAUCAUAUUUGUAUAACAGAACUUGUCAGAAACAUGUCGAAGAUAAUGUUUACAUUAAAAUUAAAAUAUGACCAAACAUUGAUUUGGAAACUCAGGCCUGCUUAUAAACUAUCUAACUUUGUAAUUAGGGAGCUAAGAGAGGAUUAAGGAAUUAGGAGUAGGAAGAAUACUAACUAAAAUGAAAAUCUGAAAUGAUGAAAUAGAUUGUAUGAACUAAUGUCAAUGUUUUAUUGAAUAAGGUAAUAUAUAUAAAAAUAUUGAGCCUUACAUAAAAAUACAUAUAGAUAGAUAGAUAGAUAGAUAGAUAAUCAUCCAAAGCAUGCCUGCUGUGGUAGAUUAAUGAAGUAAGUCUAGGUAAAAGUAGAAAUAAAGAAAUAAAAGAGGAAAUAAAAUUAUAUUCAGCCAAAAUCCAAGACCAUCAAAGACUUAUAGAACUUUUGAGCUGGAAGGGACCAGGGAGAUCCUUUCUUCUAUAUUUAUGUGCAUAAUUAAAUAGAUGAGUAAGUAUGAUAGAGCUAUUUGGUAUAAUACAUUACAGUAAAUAUUCCUACAUAAAAUAAUCACGUUUAGACUACGCAUUAAAAGAAAGUCAUUUCCCAAUACUCUGAACAAUUCUCAAGAUAAACUUUCUUUCUAUUCUAAAAGAAAACUCCUCUUUGAUCAAAAGAAAGCAAGCAAACAUCUGAGUGCUUUCACACUGUUGUAGAUAUAACUUAUCUGACUUGUAUCAUAGAAGCUGCUGUAAAAUUAACAACGAAAAUUCUUCAUUUCCUUUUAAAUAUGCAAAAAGGGACUUUAAUGAAUGCACUAAAUUUUACAUUUAUUAAGGUAUACUCCAAUGUUCUAAGCUGAACAAGAUUUUUAUUUCCCCAAUCCUGGAAACAUCCAUGACUCCAAGGCACUAAGACAGUCAUUGUUCAUUCCAUUUACUUGUCUGGUCUGUGUGUCUAACUUGAUCAUUAAAUUAUAUUCUUUUAAAAGAGAUAGUACAGUGAACUGCUUACAGGCAUAGUCUUUUCAAUUAGGAAGAACCUGACUAUAAACUUUGGUUUCAUCAAUUACCUGGUCUCUCACGUGUUGAACUAUAAUGAACUAGAUAUUUUAAAACUAUAAAACAAGGCUAAAAUUAGAACCUACUUUUGGUGGAGUGAGAAGGGCCUAAUAAAUAACACAGUUUUUUUUCCUAGAUGAACUCACAAUCAGUAGAGAUAGAAGAAAGUAGCAUAAGGAAACCAAAAUAUCUCUCUUAUUAUAGGUAAAACUUAUCUUCACAAUUGUGAUUUAUGUCUAUAAGCAAGUGAAUGGGCCUCUUCACAUGAAACCACAAGAUGAGAUUAUCACACAUGCCUGAUCUUAUAAAUUGUACAGCAAUGAACACAGUGAAUCAUAUACCAUAUGCUAGUUAGACCUCAUUCCUGAGAAAGAAAUGUCCAACCAGGCAUGACCGACUUUACCAAAGAAGCCAUUCCAUUCUUUCUGGUGACAAGAGAGUAAAAAAGCAAGAGAGAACAAGAGAAUCACAGAAAUACAUGGCCCUCCACCCCUUACUCCCUCAUUUUAAAGGAAUGGAGUUUUAAAUUAGAAAAUAAAUUAAAAAUGCCUAGCAUAGUAAAAAUUUUCAACAAAUAUUAAGGGACAUUUUAUUUUGUAUUAAGUUGUGCCGUGCUUUGUAUAAGAUAAUAUCUUUUAUUCUGUUUUUCUUAUUAAAAUAAAACACUUGAUCAAAUCCUAAAUUGGUAAAUGGAAUAAAAUAAGUGUUUGUUAAAAUGUGAAGUAUAAGACUAUUUGCAUUUUCUCUGCCUUGAAAAUUUGGGGAAAUAUUUUCUUCAUUAGCAUUUCCAGACCCUCACCCUUGUGAGUGAAGGAAACUUCUAUUACUACACACAAUAUGAGAUUUAUACAGCAAAGUGUCUAACACGCUAUUGAGAACAUGACGAGGCAGACACUAUUAUAUCUGUCACAUGCACAUUGUUACUGGGAGUUAUAAUUAUUUCUAGGAUGCAAUUUUACAAUACAUAUGAAGAGCUUUAAAAAUUAUUUCAAGCAUUUUGACUUGAUAAUUAUACUUGGGGAAAAUAUCUGAAGAACUAACAAAAUAGGAAAAAUGAUUAUGAACCAUAAUUUUCAUCUCAGGAAUAUUUUGAAUACUAAAAAAUAUGAAAGACAGUUCAUUGACAAUAUGAGCAUGGAUUAAACUAUGCUGGUAUACUUUUUAUGCAGCGGUGAAACUUGCUCUAAUGAAUAAUUUUUUAUUAGUAGGAGA
Molecule: long non-coding RNA, 3267 nt
Organism: Felis catus (domestic cat)
Lineage: Eukaryota; Metazoa; Chordata; Mammalia; Carnivora; Felidae
Exons: 4
Source: RefSeq, a predicted model, not a curated record